RNAcentral lists this long non-coding RNA (445 nucleotides) under Trifolium pratense (red clover). Its description in RNAcentral is "long non-coding RNA (TPRA_LNC000295)". Lineage: Eukaryota; Viridiplantae; Streptophyta; Magnoliopsida; Fabales; Fabaceae. The record is from RNAcentral.
GGAGAAUAAGAAAAUGGAGUGAUCUAAACUCCACCAUUAUUAAUAACACAGACACGGAGGUGAUGUGUUGAGUCAAAUCAAAUCUGAAGCGAAUAACACGAAACUAUAUUGGAUUCAGAGUUCAGACAAAGUGUUUGUUUCCAUCCUUCCUUCCGCGUAUCAAACGGGCAAUUUUCACAAGUCAGUCAAUUAUUUCAUACCAAAUGACUCCUUCAUAAAAUAGCCUAUAGCCAUUGACCAAUGACAUACAUAGUAGAAAUUAACAAGUUUCUUCUUCUUCUUUUAUUGAUUUUUUCGUCCAAAUAAUAUACAAUAUUCAUUCACAGGUUGGUUGGUUUGUUGGUUUUAUAUAUUAUAUAUACAUCAAUCAAUAUUGAAAUCAUAUAAUUGCUUACAAUUUUUCAGUUUCCCUGACAGCAACAUAAACAAAAGUAGAACAUANNNN